Molecule: ribosomal RNA, 354 nt
Filed under: uncultured soil bacterium
Lineage: Bacteria
Description: bacterial SSU rRNA
Rfam family: Bacterial small subunit ribosomal RNA
Source: RNAcentral
UUUGAUCCUGGCUCACGACGAACGCUGGCGGCAUGCUUAACACAUGCUAGUCGAGCGCCGUACCUAUACGGAGCGGUAGACGGGAGAGUAACACGUGGGAACGUACCUUGCGGUUCGGAAUAACCCUCUGGAAACUUGGGCUAAUACCGGAUACGCCCGCAAGGGGAAAGAUUUAUUGCCGAAAGAUCGGCCCGCGUCCGAUUAGCUAGUUGGUGAGGUAACGGCUCACCAAGGCGACGAUCGGUAGCUGGUCUGAGAGGAUGAUCAGCCUCACUGGGACUGAGACACGGCCCAGACUCCUACGGGAGGCAGCAGUGGGGAAUUCUCCGCAAUGGGCGAAAGCCUGACGGAGCA